UGCAAGUAUCAGCACACCCGUGAGAAAGCCCUUUACCCUUAAUAGGAUAAGGAGCUGGUAUCAGGCACAGUUUCCUAGCCCACGACACCUAGCUUUGCCACGCCCUCAAGGGUAUUCAGCAGUGAUUAACAUUGUCUAUAAGCGCCAGCUUGAUUCAGUUAGAGGAGCUAGAGCCGGCUAAUACGGUGCCAGCCGCCGCGGCUACACCACUAGGCUCAAGUUGAUUUUAUUCGGCGUUAAGCGUGUUUAAAGUGCCAGCAAGAUUAGAAUUGAACUUAAACCAAGUCGUGAUACACUUGUUUUUAAGAAAAACAAAAACGAAAGUUAUUCUAACCAAACCACUUGAACCCACGACAGCUAGGACACAAACUGGGAUUAGGUACCCCACUAUGCCUAGCCGUAAAAUAUUUACUUACACCUAAACCGCCAGGGAAUUACGAGCCCAAGCUUAAAACCCAAAGGACUUGACGGUGUCCCACCCACCUAGAGGAGCCUGU
RNAcentral lists this ribosomal RNA (497 nucleotides) under Microhyla sp. n NAP-2020. RNAcentral describes it as "partial small subunit ribosomal RNA". It matches the Rfam family "Bacterial small subunit ribosomal RNA", at positions 284 to 942 of the family's 1533-position model. Lineage: Eukaryota; Metazoa; Chordata; Amphibia; Anura; Microhylidae. The record is from RNAcentral.